CAAAUAAAAUGUAACAAUAAAGUUGCAUGACAUCAAAGUUCAGAAGUUUUCUGAUGUUUUUCUGGGUAAACAAAAGGAGGAAGACAAAGUGAAAGAGAACUUGAUCAACAACAUUUGUUUAUACCAAAAUAUAAUCCAUUGAUACCAAAAUAAGUUCCAACUACAUUCAACAUAUUAAAACAAGUGAUCCAAAGAAAAGAUAAGCAGAAACCAAAACCAUCAAAAGUAUCUCAGAACAAAACACAGGAAAGAAGCAAUAUCAACCAAAGUUUACUUGAUCUUCUUCUUUGGCCUCAACUGCAAUAAACAAAACAAAAAAGCACAAAAGCAAACAUCAACACACCGUAACCAAAACACAGCACAAAAUUACAAACAGCAUUGCCUCGCACUUACUUGAUUGCUAUGACCACACUUCUUCUUGCGGCAGUUCACAGCCCUGGGAUGAAGACGGGCAUAACAUCUACAAACAAAAAAAAAAACCCAAAAUCACACUUAGGUCAAAAUUAAAAAUUUGCACUAACUAUGAAAUUGAAUAAAAAGAACAAUAUCUAAAAUGUACCAAAUCGAGAAAAUCAACUGGAAAAUAUUAAAUCCAGGUGAUAAAGUAAGAAAUGGGUCAUUAUAGGGAACUUAUAUAACCCCGAUUGCACUUUUAACCAACAAAAGAGGCUAAGUUAUAGUCCCAUAAAUAUCGCUCUACAGACAACAAGAAACAGAACUUAUUACAUUAAGGGCAGUCUGGAUUAGCUUAUAAGCUUACUUUUAAGCUUAUGAAAAGAAAGAAAAAAAUAGGUUAUGCAAAUAAAUACGCUCAUUCAUAAAUUGUAUAAGCUUUUUUUUUUUAUCUUUUCCAAACUUAUGAAUAAUAAAUAAAAGUGUAUUGAUUUACAUGAGCUGUUAUGUAUAAGCUCAAAAAUCACUCAAUCCAAACGGGAAAAUGGGAUCGGCCACUUUAAUCAAACAGGGACAUAAUUAUCUAUCAUAUACAAUAUAACUAGCCUAUUCAUUAAUAUCAAAAUCAACAAUUUAAAUGAAAUAAUAAUAAAUUGAUAUAAGAAAUGAUGAAACGUACUUGCGGCAUAUAGUUUUGUCUUGGUUGUAUUUCCUUGCCAAAGCCAUCAAAGAAGGUUCAAUGAUACCCCCACGAAGCCUGAGAACGAGAUGAAGAGUCGAUUCCUUCUGGAUAUUGUAAUCAGCUAAGGUGCGUCCAUCUUCAAGCUGCUUACCAGCGAAAAUCAAUCGCUGCUGAUCCGGUGGAAUACCUGAUUAUUUCGUUCAAAAGCGCGUUUGGUUAAAUAUACAAAUCAGAUUAUGAAACACGAUUAAUACAUGAUUAGGAAUGUAUUGUGUUGUUACCUUCCUUAUCUUGAAUUUUGGCCUUGACAUUGUCGAUUGUGUCACUGCUCUCAACCUCGAGGGUGAUGGUUUUCCCGGUUAGGGUUUUCACGAAGAUCUGCAUAUUUGCGGC
This 1468-nucleotide long non-coding RNA is filed under the name Medicago truncatula (barrel medic). Its description in RNAcentral is "lncRNA gene43455". Lineage: Eukaryota; Viridiplantae; Streptophyta; Magnoliopsida; Fabales; Fabaceae. The record is from RNAcentral.